Molecule: ribosomal RNA, 258 nt
Filed under: uncultured bacterium
Lineage: Bacteria
Description: partial 16S ribosomal RNA
Rfam family: Bacterial small subunit ribosomal RNA
Source: RNAcentral
UACAGAGGAGCCAAGCGUUGUCCGGAUUGACUGGGCGUAAAGCGCACGCAGGCGGUCGUGCGCGUGGGGUGUGAAAUCUGGCCGCUUAACGGCCAGGCGCCAUCCCAUACGGCACGACUGGAGCGAUGCAGGAGGUCGGUGGAAUUGCCGGUGUAGUGGUGAAAUUCGUAGAUAUUAGGAGGAACACCGGUGGCGAAGGGCGGCCAUCUAGCACAUAACUGACGCUGUUGCACGAAAAGCGUGGGGAGCCAAACAGGG